This 21-nucleotide non-coding RNA is filed under the name Caenorhabditis elegans. The record is from RNAcentral. Lineage: Eukaryota; Metazoa; Nematoda; Chromadorea; Rhabditida; Rhabditidae.
UUCUUCUAUGAUUCCACAAAC